This 469-nucleotide ribosomal RNA is filed under the name uncultured bacterium. Its description in RNAcentral is "bacterial SSU rRNA". It matches the Rfam family "Bacterial small subunit ribosomal RNA", at positions 28 to 507 of the family's 1533-position model. The record is from RNAcentral.
GACGACGGCUGGCGGGCGUGCUUAAAACAUGCAAGUCGAACGGACUUCUCAUGAAGCUUGCGAUUGAGAAGUUAGUGGCGGACGGGUGAGUAACGCGUGGGCAACCUGCCCCUGAGCCCGGGAUAACAGUUCGAAAGGACUGCUAAGACCGGAUAUACUUGCGGGGAAGCAUUUCACUGCAAGGAAAGGGAACGCUCAGGGGAUGGGGCCCGCGUCCCAUUAGCUAGUUGGUGAGGUAACGGGCCCACCAAGGCGACGAUGGGUAGCCGGCCUGAGAGGGUGAACGGCCACACUGGGACUGAGACACGGCCCAGACUCCUACGGGAGGCAGCAGUUGGGAAUCUUCGGCAAUGGGCGCAAGCCUGACCGAGCAACGCCGCGUGAGUGAUGAAGGUUUUCGGAUUGUAAAGCUCUGUCUUCCGGGACGAUAAUGACGGUACCGGAGGAGGAAGCCACGGCUAACUACGUG